UUUUGAUGCCUUGUGUUGGCUUGCUUGAACUUGUCUGAACUUAGUGAAUUUAAUUUCCAUACUUCCAUUGAUCCAAAUGAGCUGAAAAUUGAUAUGCUACUCAUUGAAUGUGUUCUGUUUAGGUUGGAAUUUUUGUGGAAUUUAUUGAGCUGUUUUGAUAUUGAUUUGAUUGUGAUCAUUCUGUUUGGUCUUUUGAAGUUGCAAAUAGCAUGCUUUGUGAUAUUUUGUUUAUAAAAUGAUGAUAAUGAAUGAGAUGAGCAUGG
This 263-nucleotide long non-coding RNA is filed under the name Lathyrus oleraceus (garden pea). Its description in RNAcentral is "Pisum sativum (pea) long non-coding RNA (PSAT_LNC008037)". The record is from RNAcentral. Lineage: Eukaryota; Viridiplantae; Streptophyta; Magnoliopsida; Fabales; Fabaceae.